CUACGUGCCAGCAGCCGCGGUAAUACGGAAGGUUCGGGCGUUAUCCGGAUUUAUUGGGUUUAAAGGGAGCGUAGGCUGAAUAUUAAGCGUGUUGUGAAAUGUAGUUGCUCAACAUCUGCACUGCAGCGCGAACUGGUAUUCUUGAGUGUGCGCGACGUAGGCGGAAUUCGUGGUGUAGCGGUGAAAUGCUUAGAUAUCACGAAGAACUCCGAUUGCGAAGACAGCUUACGAGAGCACAACUGACGCUUAAGCUCGAAGGUGCGGGUAUCGAACAGGAUUAGAUACCCUGGUAGUCCGCACAGUAAACGAUGGAUGCCCGCUAUUGGACUUUUAGUUCAGUGGCUAAGCGAAAGCGUUAAGCAUCCCACCUGGGGAGUACGCCGGCAACGGUGAAACUCAAAGGAAUUGACGGGGGCCCGCACAAGCGGAGGAACAUGUGGUUUAAUUCGAUGAUACGCGAGGAACCUUACCCGGGCUUGAACUGCCGG
RNAcentral lists this ribosomal RNA (488 nucleotides) under uncultured bacterium. RNAcentral's name for it is "bacterial SSU rRNA". It matches the Rfam family "Bacterial small subunit ribosomal RNA", at positions 501 to 992 of the family's 1533-position model. The record is from RNAcentral.